Molecule: small RNA, 129 nt
Filed under: Escherichia coli
Lineage: Bacteria; Pseudomonadati; Pseudomonadota; Gammaproteobacteria; Enterobacterales; Enterobacteriaceae
Description: RtT sRNA
Rfam family: RtT RNA
About the family: This family represents a bacterial cis-regulatory element known as RtT RNA. The exact function of RtT is unknown although it is thought that it may be involved in changing the cellular response in relation to amino acid starvation.
Source: RNAcentral
AUUCUGCCCAAGCGGGGAAGGAUGAGAAGCUUCGACCAAGGUUCGACUUGAGCGCCAGCGAGAGAGCGUUGCCGCAGGCAACGACCCGAAGGGCGAAGCGCGCAGCGCUGAGUAAUCCUUCCCCCACCA